Molecule: long non-coding RNA, 615 nt
Organism: Cyprinus carpio (common carp)
Lineage: Eukaryota; Metazoa; Chordata; Actinopteri; Cypriniformes; Cyprinidae
Exons: 4
Source: RefSeq, a predicted model, not a curated record
CUGAGGUCUCUUGCGCAUGCGCGGUCUGCAGCCUGAGGAUACGCUUUUUGUGUCGAAAGCGAAAGUAAAGCCUCAAUACUUACCGAAUGUAAAUUCACAUUUCGAAGACAUAAAAACUGCCAGAAAAAAUCAUAUUACGGUGUGAAGUCAGUUUGUCAUUAUGGAGAACAGAGAGAGCGGAGAGAGAUCUUCAUCUCCUGAUCACAGCUGUGUGUCUCUGAAGAGUGACGAAUCCAUGGGUUCUCGUCCUUUAUUCAGUAAUGAUCCAGUGACCUCUGACCACAGGAUCUUCAAAAAAAGACGAAGCGACAGAGAUCUUCAUCACCAGAAACCCAGCUGUUUGGUCUAUGAAGAGUGCAAGAUCCAUGCCUCAUCCUCCUCUUCAAUUUAGUAAUGAACCAGUGACCUCUGACCCCAGAGUGUUUUUAAAGAAGGUCAGACUGGAGACCUGCAGCAGGAUUCUCCUGAACCACAAGAUGAUGUUCUUCAGAGAGUCAAAGAGCAGCUCAAAACCAGCAUGAAGAACAAGUACGAGAGAUUAUUUGAGGGACUGAAACUCCAGGGAGAAUGAAAGCCUCCUGAAACAGCAUCUACACACAGCUCUACAUCAUAGAG